UCUAGGCAUUUCUUCCCUGGCUCCCUAAAACUUAUAUAGAACACCUUUGGGUCUUCCUUUGCAAGGUCAGGUUCCUCAUGCACUGGGUGAUUUUCAACAUGGAUGUCUUACGGACUAUGUACCUGAACACAGAACCUGACAUCUACAUGCCAUCAUGCCCUUGGAGUUGCUUGUUAAAGCAGAUGCCUUGAAGUUUGUAAGGUCUUUCAAGAACAGAACAAGUCAUGGACCUCAUACUCUUUUUCUAUCAACAUGAGGCUUAUAGGCAUUUAUGACUGAGUUCUUGGUGACUGUUCUGGCUUACUAUCCUGAGAACUAGGAAGAGUGACUGAGUGCGAAAGAAAGAGGUUUGGCACAGUGAUCAUUCUUUUAGUCUCAUCACCUAGGAAGCAAGAGGAUUUGUAGCCUAACAAAACAAUGAGAUCCAAAGUGAGUGGGAGACCCGAUCUCAAGAGAAUAAGGUGAAGAGUGACAGCUGAUAACUGACAUCCUGCUAUGAUCCGCAGAACUCCACACAUGUGCACAUGGGCAUGUGCAUCUGUAUACACAUGUACAUAUACCAACAA
Long non-coding RNA from Mastomys coucha (southern multimammate mouse), 566 nucleotides. RefSeq lists it as uncharacterized. The record is from RefSeq and is a predicted model, not a curated record. The transcript is spliced from 3 exons. NCBI's taxonomy places the organism in Eukaryota, Metazoa, Chordata, Mammalia, Rodentia, Muridae.